RNAcentral lists this ribosomal RNA (495 nucleotides) under Dothideomycetes sp. 12E0202. RNAcentral's name for it is "eukaryotic LSU rRNA". The stretch from base 134 to 287 matches the Rfam family "5.8S ribosomal RNA". Lineage: Eukaryota; Fungi; Ascomycota; Dothideomycetes. The record is from RNAcentral.
CGCUGCCUUAUUCACCCACCCUUUGUCUACGUGUACCUCUAUAGCUUCCUCGGCGGGCUCGCCCGCCGCCAGGAACCCACGAAACCCCUUGCAUUAUACACGAAAACUUCUGGUAACAAACCUAAAUUAUUACAACUUUCAACAAUGGAUCUCUUGGUUCUGGCAUCGAUGAAGAACGCAGCGAAAUGCGAUAAGUAGUGUGAAUUGCAGAAUUCAGUGAAUCAUCGAAUCUUUGAACGCACAUUGCGGCCAUAGGUAUUCCUUUGGCCAUGCCUGUUCGAGCGUCAUUUACACCCUCAAGCCUAGCUUGGUGUUGGGCGUCUGUCCCGCCGAUUUCGCGCGCGGACUCGCCUCAAAGUCAUUGGCGGCGGUCGUGCCGGCUCCUCGCGCAGCACAUUUGCGCUUCUCGGAGGCCCGGCGGAUCCGCGCUCCAGCAAAGACCUUUCAUGACUUGACCUCGGAUCAGGUAGGGAUACCCGCUGAACUUAAGCAUAU